CCUACGGGAGGCAGCAGUAGGGAAUAUUGGGCAAUGGGCGAGAGCCUGACCCAGCCAUGCCGCGUGCAGGAAGAAGGCUUUCUGAGUCGUAAACUGCUUUUGACAGGGAAGAAUAAGCACUACGUGUAGUGUGAUGACGGUACCUGCAGAAUAAGCACCGGCUAACUCCGUGCCAGCAGCCGCGGUAAUACGGAGGGUGCGAGCGUUGUCCGGAUUUAUUGGGUUUAAAGGGUGCGUAGGCGGCUUUUUAAGUCUGGGGUGAAAGCCCGCUGCUCAACAGCGGAACUGCCCUGGAUACUGGAGAGCUUGAGUACAGACGAGGUUGGCGGAAUGGACUGAGUAGCGGUGAAAUGCAUAGAUACAGUCCAGAACCCCGAUUGCGAAGGCAGCUGACUAGGCUGUUACUGACGCUGAGGCACGAAAGCGUGGGGAGCGAACAGGAUUAGAUACCCUGGUAGUCCACGCCGUAAACGAUGGAUACUCGCUGCGNGAUAAGAUUGUUCGUGCGUAGGAACGAGUAAGUACUCCACCGUGGGAGGUACGCGUCGCGAGAGUAGUAACGUUAAACGUUAGUAGUUAGUACGGACGUUAGAGACGNGCCGACGGACGACGACGAGGGAGGAGG
This 625-nucleotide ribosomal RNA is filed under the name uncultured bacterium. Its description in RNAcentral is "bacterial SSU rRNA". The stretch from base 1 to 531 matches the Rfam family "Bacterial small subunit ribosomal RNA", at positions 338 to 873 of the family's 1533-position model. The record is from RNAcentral.